GACGAACGCUGGCGGCGUGCUUAACACAUGCAAGUCGAACGGAAAGGCCCUGCUUUUGUGGGGUGCUCGAGUGGCGAACGGGUGAGUAACACGUGAGUAACCUGCCCUUGACUUUGGGAUAACUUCAGGAAACUGGGGCUAAUACCGGAUAGGAGCUCCUGCUGCAUGGUGGGGGUUGGAAAGUUUCGGCGGUUGGGGAUGGACUCGCGGCUUAUCAGCUUGUUGGUGGGGUAGUGGCUUACCAAGGCUUUGACGGGUAGCCGGCCUGAGAGGGUGACCGGCCAAAUUGGGACUGAGAUACGGCCCAGACUCCUACGGGAGGCAGCAGUGGGGAAUAUUGCACAAUGGGCGGAAGCCUGAUGCAGCAACGCCGCGUGCGGGAUGACGGCCUUCGGGUUGUAAACCGCUUUCGCCUGUGACGAAGCGUGAGUGACGGGAAUGGGUAAAGAAGCACCGGCUAAAUACGUG
This 468-nucleotide ribosomal RNA is filed under the name uncultured bacterium. RNAcentral describes it as "partial 16S ribosomal RNA". It matches the Rfam family "Bacterial small subunit ribosomal RNA", at positions 28 to 507 of the family's 1533-position model. The record is from RNAcentral.